CCUUGGAAUAGNAUAGNUAGUACGUUUAGAAGCUCGUGAUCGGAGUUGUUCGGGUUUUAAGGGGAAAAAACUCUGAGUAGUUCGAAAGGAUUGCUUGGGACCCUCCCGAUUCAUUGGAUUAUGAAAGUGCUGAGGUUCGCCUUGGAUUACUUCUCUUCCACAUUUACUUUGAGGAAAUUAGAGUGUUUAUAGCAGUCGUUUCGACUGAAUAGUUUAGCAUGGGAUAAUAGAAUAUGGCAAUGCGUCUUUUCUAUGGUUCUUAAAGGCAAUUUUUUGCAAUGAUCAAUGGGAGUGGAUGGGGCUGCCAGUAUUGCUGAGCUAGAGGUGAAAUUCUAUGAUUUCAGCAGGACUAACAAAUGCGAAAGCAUCCAGCCAGUACAUGUCCGUCGAUCAAGAACGAAGGGAGUGGUAUCGAAGAUGAUCAGAUACCGUCGUAGUCACUCCAGUAAACGAUGAUAACUCGGGGUUAGAGGGAUGUAACUUCAAACUUGCACUUUUUAGAACCGUAUGAGAAAUCAAAGUAUCUAUAUUUCCGGGGGGAGUAUGGCCGCAAGACUGAAACUUAAAGGAAUUGACGGAAGGGCACCACAAGGCGUGGAACCUGCGGCUUAAUUUGACUCAACACGGGAAAACUUACCAGGUCCAGACAUAGUAAGGAUUGACAGGUGGAAAGAUCUUUCUUGAUUCUGUGGGUGGUGGUGCAUGGCCGUUCUUAGUUGGUGGAAUGAUUUGUCUGUUUAAUUACGAUAACGAACGAGAUGAUCAUGGAAAACUAGAGAGAUUGAUUGAAAGAUCGAUGCUUAUUCUUCUCUUCCAGAUUAAUGGAUUAAAGCCAUUUGAAAUGAUCGCAAUAACAGGUCUGUGAUGCCCUUAGAUGUUCUGGGCUGCACGCGCGUUACAAUGGUGACGUCAAUGAGUUUUGGAGGGAUUUACUYUUUCCUUGUGCUUUCUCGAAAGGGAUGGCUAAUCUUAUAUAAACGUCACCGUGCUGGGGAUAGAUGGUUGUAAUUAUCCGUCUUGAACC
RNAcentral lists this ribosomal RNA (1024 nucleotides) under Amoebozoa sp. Pa34. RNAcentral describes it as "bacterial SSU rRNA". It matches the Rfam family "Eukaryotic small subunit ribosomal RNA", at positions 594 to 1625 of the family's 1831-position model. The record is from RNAcentral.